Molecule: small nuclear RNA, 186 nt
Organism: Leopardus geoffroyi (Geoffroy's cat)
Lineage: Eukaryota; Metazoa; Chordata; Mammalia; Carnivora; Felidae
Product: U2 spliceosomal RNA
Exons: 1
Source: RefSeq, a predicted model, not a curated record
CUCGCUUCCCCGCCUUUUGCCCAAGAUCCAGUGUAAUCUCUGUUCUUAUCAGUUUAAUAUCUGAUCCGUCCUCUAUUGAGGACAAUGUAUUAAACGGAUUUUGGAGCAGGGAGAUAGAACAGGGGCGUGCUCCAGUCGCUCUACGCAUGGACCUGAUGUUACUUCCAGGAAUGGUGUGCACCACCC